GUCCUGUGACAUCUAGAUCCACUGGCUUCAGCUCCAUUGUGACAUCCUAACAUGCAUUGUGUUGGUGGUAACUUAUUGACCACUGAACCAUGCUGGAGAAGCUGGUGUGCACUGCAUAGAGGGUUAGUUACUGGAGGCUCCCUAAGCCAGCAGCAUUUGUAAUCUUGAGACUGUGCCUUCAUGUUAAAAAGAAUUGGCAAUUUAAUAAAUCAAGCUUGAUGACUCUGGGUGAGAAGUCUUUCAAGUGUGAGAUUUGCUCUUAUACCUUCAUUGAUACAAGCUCCCUGCAGCAGUGUUUCUGAACAUGCACUAAUGAGAGGCCUUGCAAAUGCUGGCUCUGUUCAUAUAGUCGCAUUUAGAAGAAGAGCUUGGACCUUCACAUAUGCUGACAUCACACUGGUGAGGUGUGGUUUUUGCUGCUGUUCUUCUGAGAAACAGUUUCUCCAAAAACACAUUAAGAAACAUCACCUAGGUUCAAGAACUUUCUUAACCAGCUCCCAGCUCACUUUUACCCUCAAAUCACUUCCUGUGGAAAAUUAG
This 540-nucleotide long non-coding RNA is filed under the name Melopsittacus undulatus (budgerigar). RNAcentral's name for it is "lncRNA (ENSMUNG00000021064.1)". Lineage: Eukaryota; Metazoa; Chordata; Aves; Psittaciformes; Psittaculidae. The record is from RNAcentral.